RNAcentral lists this ribosomal RNA (429 nucleotides) under bacterium. Its description in RNAcentral is "partial 16S ribosomal RNA". It matches the Rfam family "Bacterial small subunit ribosomal RNA", at positions 355 to 776 of the family's 1533-position model. The record is from RNAcentral.
UGGGGAAUAUUGCACAAUGGGCGCAAGCCUGAUGCAGCCAUGCCGCGUGUAUGAAGAAGGCCUUCGGGUUGUAAAGUACUUUCAGCGGGGAGGAAGGUGUUGAGGUUAAUAACCUCAGCAAUUGACGUUACCCGCAGAAGAAGCACCGGCUAACUCCGUGCCAGCAGCCGCGGUAAUGCGGAGGGUGCAAGCGUUAAUCGGAAUUACUGGGCGUAAAGCGCACGCAGGCGGUCUGGCAAGUCGGAUGUGAAAUCCCCGGGCUCAACCUGGGAACUGCACUCGAAACUGGCAGGCUAGAGUCUCGUAGAGGGCGGUAGAAUUCCAGGUGUAGCGGUGCAAUGCGUAGAGAUCUGGAGGAAUACCGGUGGCGAAGGCGGCCCCCUGGACAAAGACUGUCGCUCAGGUGCGAAAGCGUGUGGAGCAAACAGG